GAUGAACGCUGGCGGCGUGCCUAAUACAUGCAAGUCGAGCGAACAGACUAGGAGCUUGCUCCUCUGACGUUAGCGGCGGACGUGUGAGUAACACGUUGAUAACCUACCUAUAAGACUGGGAUAACUUCGUGAAACCGGAGCUAAUACCGGAUAAUAUAUUGAACCGCAUUGUUCAAUAGUGAAAGACGGUUUUGCUGUCACUUAUAGAUGGAUCCGCGCCGCAUUAUCUAGUUGGUAAGGUAACGGCUUACCACGGGAACGAUGCGUAGCCGACCUGAGAGGGGGAUCGGCCACACUGGAACUGAGACACGGUCCAGACUCCUAAGGGAGGCAGAAGUAGGGAAUCUCGCGAAAUGGGCGAAAGCUUGACGGAGAAACGCCGCGUGAGUGAUGAAGGUCUUCGGAUCGUAAAACUCGGUUAUUAGGGAAGAACAAAUGUGUAAGUAACUAUGCACGUCUUGACGGUACCUAAUCAGAAAGCCACGGCUAACUACGUG
This 497-nucleotide ribosomal RNA is filed under the name uncultured bacterium. RNAcentral's name for it is "partial 16S ribosomal RNA". It matches the Rfam family "Bacterial small subunit ribosomal RNA", at positions 28 to 507 of the family's 1533-position model. The record is from RNAcentral.